This 253-nucleotide ribosomal RNA is filed under the name uncultured bacterium. RNAcentral describes it as "partial 16S ribosomal RNA". It matches the Rfam family "Bacterial small subunit ribosomal RNA", at positions 524 to 776 of the family's 1533-position model. The record is from RNAcentral.
UACGUAGGGUGCGAGCGUUGUCCGGAAUUACUGGGCGUAAAGAGCUCGUAGGUGGUUUGUCGCGUUGUCCGUGAAAACUCACAACUCAAUUGUGGGCGUGCGGGCGAUACGGGCAGACUGGAGUACUGCAGGGGAGACUGGAAUUCCUGGUGUAGCGGUGAAAUGCGCAGAUAUCAGGAGGAACACCGGUGGCGAAGGCGGUUCUCUGGGCCGUAACUGACGCUGAGGAGCGAAAGCGUGGGGAGCAAACAGG